GACGAACGCUGGCGGCGUGCUUAACACAUGCAAGUCGAACGGAAAGGCCCUGCUUUUGUGGGGUGCUCGAGUGGCGAACGGGUGAGUAACACGUGAGUAACCUGCCCUUGACUUUGGGAUAACUUCAGGAAACUGGGGCUAAUACCGGAUAGGAGCUCCUGCUGCAUGGUGGGGGUUGGAAAGUUUCGGCGGUUGGGGAUGGACUCGCGGCUUAUCAGCUUGUGGGUGGGGUAGUGGCUUACCAAGGCUUUGACGGGUAGCCGGCCUGAGAGGGUGACCGGCCACAUUGGGACUAAGAUACGGCCCAGACUCCUACGGGAGGCAGCAGUGGGGAAUCUUGCACAAUGGGCGGAAGCCUGAUGCAGCAACGCCGCGUGCGGGAUGACGGCCUUCUGGUUGUAAACCGCUUUCGCCUGUGACGAAGCGUGAGUGACGGUAAUGGGUAAAGAAGCACCGGCUAACUACGUG
Molecule: ribosomal RNA, 468 nt
Filed under: uncultured bacterium
Lineage: Bacteria
Description: partial 16S ribosomal RNA
Rfam family: Bacterial small subunit ribosomal RNA
Source: RNAcentral